Molecule: ribosomal RNA, 469 nt
Filed under: uncultured bacterium
Lineage: Bacteria
Description: bacterial SSU rRNA
Rfam family: Bacterial small subunit ribosomal RNA
Source: RNAcentral
GAUGAACGCUGGCGGCGUGCCUAAUACAUGCAAGUCGAGCGGUAAGGCCCCUUCGGGGGUACACGAGCGGCGGACGGCUGAGUAACACGUAGGAACGUACCCCAAACUGAGGGAUAAGCACCAGAAAUGGUGUCUAAUACCGCAUGUGGUCUUCGGAUUAAAGCUUCGGCGGUUUGGGAACGGCCUGCGCAUGAUUAGCUUGUUGGUGAGGUAAUGGCUUACCAAGGCGAUGAUCAUUAGCUGGUCUGAGAGGAUGAUCAGCCAGACUGGGACUGAGAACGGCCCAGACUCCUACGGGAGGCAGCAGUAGGGAAUUUUCCACAAUGGGCGAAAGCCUGAUGGAGCAACGCCGCGUGCAGGAUGAAGGCCUUCGGGUUGUAAACUGCUUUUAUAUGUGACGAUUAUGACGGUAGCAUAUGAAUAAGGAUCGGCUAACUCCGUGCCAGCAGCCGCGGUAAGCUCGUCUCUA